CCUACGGGAGGCUGCAGUGAGGAAUAUUGGUCAAUGGGCGGGAGCCUGACCCAGCCAAGCCGCGUGAGGGAAGAAGGUACAGCGUAUCGUAACCCUCUUUUGUCAGGGAACACAGGCGGGGACUAGUCCCCGGAUGAGGGUACCUGAAGAAAAAGCAUCGGCUAACUCCGUUCCAGCAGCCGAGGUAAUACGGAGGAUGCGAGCGUUAUCCGGAUUUAUUGGGUGGAAAGGGUGCGGAGGUUGUUUUUUAAGUCAGCGGUGAAAGUUUGUGGCUCAACGAGAAAAUUGCCGUUGAAACUGGAAGACUUGAGUGUGUGUGAGGUAGGCGGAAUGCGUGGUGUAGCGGUGAAAUGCAUAGAUAUCACGCAGAACACCGAUUGCGAAGGCAGCUGACUAAGCCAUAACUGACACUGAAGCACGAAAGCGUGGGGAUCAAACAGGAUUAGAUACCCGGGUAGUC
Molecule: ribosomal RNA, 460 nt
Filed under: uncultured bacterium
Lineage: Bacteria
Description: partial 16S ribosomal RNA
Rfam family: Bacterial small subunit ribosomal RNA
Source: RNAcentral